CAUGCAAGUCGAGCGGUAGAGAGGUGCUUGCACCUCUUGAGAGCGGCGGACGGGUGAGUAAUGCCUAGGAAUCUGCCUGGUAGUGGGGGAUAACGCUCGGAAACGGACGCUAAUACCGCAUACGUCCUACGGGAGAAAGCAGGGGACCUUCGGGCCUUGCGCUAUCAGAUGAGCCUAGGUCGGAUUAGCUAGUUGGUGAGGUAAUGGCUCACCAAGGCGACGAUCCGUAACUGGUCUGAGAGGAUGAUCAGUCACACUGGAACUGAGACACGGUCCAGACUCCUACGGGAGGCAGCAGUGGGGAAUAUUGGACAAUGGGCGAAAGCCUGAUCCAGCCAUGCCGCGUGUGUGAAGAAGGUCUUCGGAUUGUAAAGCACUUUAAGUUGGGAGGAAGGGCAUUAACCUAAUACGUUAGUGUUUUGACGUUACCGACAGAAUAAGCACCGGCUAACUCUGUGCCAGCAGCCGCGGUAAUACAGAGGGUGCAAGCGUUAAUCGGAAUUACUGGGCGUAAAGCGCGCGUAGGUGGUUCGUUAAGUUGGAUGUGAAAGCCCCGGGCUCAACCUGGGAACUGCAUUCAAAACUGUCGAGCUAGAGUAUGGUAGAGGGUGGUGGAUUUUCCUGUGUAGCGGUGAAAUGCGUAGAUAUAGGAAGGAACACCAGUGGCGAAGGCGACCACCUGGACUGAUACUGACACUGAGGUGCGAAAGCGUGGGGAGCAAAACAGGAUUAGAUACCCUGGUAGUCCACGCCGUAAACGAUGUCAACUAGCCGUUGGGAGCCUUGAGCUCUUAGUGGCGCAGCUAACGCAUUAAGUUGACCGCCUGGGGAGUACGGCCGCAAGGUUAAAACUCAAAUGAAUUGACGGGGGCCCGCACAAGCGGUGGAGCAUGUGGUUUAAUUCGAAGCAACGCGAAGAACCUUACCAGGCCUUGACAUCCAAUGAACUUUCCAGAGAUGGAUUGGUGCCUUCGGGAGCAUUGAGACAGGUGCUGCAUGGCUGUCGUCAGCUCGUGUCGUGAGAUGUUGGGUUAAGUCCCGUAACGAGCGCAACCCUUGUCCUUAGUUACCAGCACGUUAUGGUGGGCACUCUAAGGAGACUGCCGGUGACAAACCGGAGGAAGGUGGGGAUGACGUCAAGUCAUCAUGGCCCUUACGGCCUGGGCUACACACGUGCUACAAUGGUCGGUACAGAGGGUUGCCAAGCCGCGAGGUGGAGCUAAUCCCACAAAACCGAUCGUAGUCCGGAUCGCAGUCUGCAACUCGACUGCGUGAAGUCGGAAUCGCUAGUAAUCGCGAAUCAGAAUGUCGCGGUGAAUACGUUCCCGGGCCUUGUACACACCGCCCGUCACACCAUGGGAGUGGGUUGCACCAGAAGUAGCUAGUCUAACCU
Molecule: ribosomal RNA, 1393 nt
Filed under: Pseudomonas sp.
Lineage: Bacteria; Pseudomonadati; Pseudomonadota; Gammaproteobacteria; Pseudomonadales; Pseudomonadaceae
Description: bacterial SSU rRNA
Rfam family: Bacterial small subunit ribosomal RNA
Source: RNAcentral